RNAcentral lists this ribosomal RNA (964 nucleotides) under uncultured eukaryote. RNAcentral describes it as "partial Bacterial large subunit ribosomal RNA". It matches the Rfam family "Bacterial large subunit ribosomal RNA", at positions 1956 to 2925 of the family's 2925-position model. The record is from RNAcentral.
GUAGCGAAAUUCCUUGUCGGGUAAGUUCCGACCUGCACGAAUGGCGUAACGAUGGCCACACUGUCUCCUCCAGAGACUCAGCGAAGUUGAAAUGUUUGUGAUGAUGCAAUCUCCCCGCGGAAAGACGGAAAGACCCCAUGAACCUUUACUGUAGCUUUGUAUUGGACUUUGAACAGAUCUGUGUAGGAUAGGUGGGAGGCUUUGAAGUGCGGUCGCUAGAUCGCAUGGAGCCAACGUUGAAAUACCACCCUGGUGUGUUUGAGGUUCUAACCUAGGCCCAUUAUCUGGGUCGGGGACAGUGCAUGGUAGGCAGUUUGACUGGGGCGGUCUCCUCCCAAAGUGUAACGGAGGAGUUCGAAGGUACGCUAGUUACGGUCGGACAUCGUGACGAUAGUGCAAUGGCAUAAGCGUGCUUAACUGCGAGACUGACAAGUCGAGCAGAUGCGAAAGCAGGACAUAGUGAUCCGGUGGUUCUGUAUGGAAGGGCCAUCGCUCAACGGAUAAAAGGUACUCCGGGGAUAACAGGCUGAUACCGCCCAAGAGUUCAUAUCGACGGCGGUGUUUGGCACCUCGAUGUCGGCUCAUCACAUCCUGGGGCUGUAGCCGGUCCCAAGGGUAUGGCUGUUCGCCAUUUAAAGAGGUACGCGAGCUGGGUUUAGAACGUCGUGAGACAGUUCGGUCCCUAUCCGCUGCGCGCGUAGGAAAUUUGAGAGGAUCUGACCCUAGUACGAGAGGACCGGGUUGGACGAACCUCUGGUGUGCCAGUUGUUCUGCCAAGAGCACCGCUGGUUAGCUACGUUCGGGAUGGAUAACCGCUGAAAGCAUCUAAGCGGGAAGCCGGCCUCAAGAUGAGAUUUCCAUGCCUUCGGGCGAGAGGCUCCCAGCCAGACUACUGGGUUGAUAGGCCGGAUGUGGAAGCGCGGUAACGCGUGAAGCUGACCGGUACUAAUAGGCCGAUGACUUG